AGCCUAUUAGCUCAAUUGGUAGAGCAAUGUGCCAUUGCGCAUAUAUGUAGGUUCGAGUCCUACAUAGGCUA
Molecule: transfer RNA, 71 nt
Filed under: Spinacia oleracea (spinach)
Lineage: Eukaryota; Viridiplantae; Streptophyta; Magnoliopsida; Caryophyllales; Amaranthaceae
Rfam family: tRNA
About the family: Transfer RNA (tRNA) molecules are approximately 80 nucleotides in length. Their secondary structure includes four short double-helical elements and three loops (D, anti-codon, and T loops). Further hydrogen bonds mediate the characteristic L-shaped molecular structure. tRNAs have two regions of fundamental functional importance: the anti-codon, which is responsible for specific mRNA codon recognition, and the 3' end, to which the tRNAs corresponding amino acid is attached (by aminoacyl-tRNA synthetases). tRNAs cope with the degeneracy of the genetic code in two manners: having more than one tRNA (with a specific anti-codon) for a particular amino acid; and 'wobble' base-pairing, i.e. permitting non-standard base-pairing at the 3rd anti-codon position.
Source: Rfam by way of RNAcentral